UACGGGGGGGGCAAGCGUUGUUCGGAAUUACUGGGCGUAAAGGGUUCGUAGGUGGCUCGCUAAGUCAGACGUGAAAUCCCUCAGCUUAACUGGGGAACUGCGUCUGAGACUGGCAAGCUCGAGUGCAGGAGAGGAACGCGGAAUUCCAGGUGUAGCGGUGAAAUGCGUAGAUAUCGGGAAGAACACCAAAGGCGAAAGCGCUCUGCUGGGCCGAAACUGACACUGAGAGACGAAAGCUAGGGGAGCGAAUGGG
This 253-nucleotide ribosomal RNA is filed under the name uncultured bacterium. Its description in RNAcentral is "partial 16S ribosomal RNA". It matches the Rfam family "Bacterial small subunit ribosomal RNA", at positions 524 to 776 of the family's 1533-position model. The record is from RNAcentral.